GACGAACGCUGGCGGCGUGCCUAAUACAUGCAAGUAGAACGCACAGUUUAUACCGUAGCUUGCUACACCAUAGACUGUGAGUUGCGAACGGGUGAGUAACGCGUAGGUAACCUGCCUGGUAGCGGGGGAUAACUAUUGGAAACGAUAGCUAAUACCGCAUAAUAUUAAUUAUUGCAUGAUAAUUAAUUGAAAGGUGCAAUUGCACCACUACCAGACGGACCUGCGUUGUAUUAGCUAGUAGGUGAGGUAACGGCUCACCUAGGCGACGAUACAUAGCCGACCUGAGAAGGUGAUCGGCCACGCUGGGACUGAGACACGGCCCAGCAUCCUACGGGGGGGAGCAGGAGGGAAUCUUCGGCAAAGGACGAAAGUCUGACCGAGCAACGCCGCGUGAGUGAAGAAGGUUUUCGGAUCGUAAAGCUCGGUUGUAAGAGAAGAACGGGUGUGAGAGUGGAAGAUUCACGCUGUGACGGUAUCUUACCAGAAAGGGACGGCUAACUACGUG
This 505-nucleotide ribosomal RNA is filed under the name uncultured bacterium. RNAcentral describes it as "partial 16S ribosomal RNA". It matches the Rfam family "Bacterial small subunit ribosomal RNA", at positions 28 to 507 of the family's 1533-position model. The record is from RNAcentral.